CCGAAAAAUGCGUCAAAACCGCCGCCAUCUUUGUACAGUGCUCCUUUACCUCAAAUGCAUAGACGAUGCCGGACUUUUGUGCUGCGUUUGGAUGUUCAAACGGAAGAAAUCUAAAAACCAGACAGCAAGGGAUUACAUUAGACAUGACAAUGGCAUUUGUACCUGUGGUUGACUUUGAAGUCUACAAACUUGGUACCAGCGACGUCACUGACGAGAACUUGCAAGAGUUAUGCGAAGAAAUUCGAAAGGCCUUCACUGAUGUGGGGUUUGUGUUUCUCAAAAACACUGGAAUAGAGCAGAAAGAGGUGGAUCAUGUCAUGGACAUUUCUAAGAAGUUCUUCCUUCUUCCUGAAGAGGAGAAAAGACCCUACAGUAGGGGCAAUUACACAAAUAAUGGCAAUCACGAAUGGGUGUCCUCCGAAAGAGAAAGUUUAAAUCCUGAACGUCCAGGAGACUUGAAGGAGGCCUUUAAUACUACAUCUCUGAAGGCUGAUAUAAAUUGGCCCUCUGAUGGUUUUCGUGAUAUCAAAGUGGACUUUUUCAUGCGCUGUAAGGAGCUCUCUCUCUGUGUACUGAGGGUCAUGGCUCUCAGUUUAGGCCUGGAUUCAGAGUUUUUUCUCAAAGCACACAAGUACAUUGGAAGUAUUAAACAAGAAUAAGGAGUUUAUCUCAGUCCCAAGCAUCCCUGGAACAGUGCUGAUCAACAUCGCAGACCUGAUGCAGAGGUGGACCAGUGACGUCUUUGUAUCUGCUUUGCACAGAGUUCUACUACCCCCUGAGAAUGACUCAAGCACAAGGCAGGCGUUGGCGUUCUUCGUGCAGCCGGAUAACGAUGCCAUCAUUAAGUGUUGUGAUGGCUCAGACAAAUAUCCUCCUGUGAACUCACUGGAUUAUCUGCUGUCAAGAUUCAACCUCACUUAUGGCAAGAAUUAGAAACGUGAUUCUCCUUACAUGUGUGUAGAAAAUUUACAUACAAUAACGCCCUACCAUCAGCGUGUUUACAUACACAUCAAUAUAAUCAUACUGAUUUGAUCUGAUGUUCACUUCAAAUUUGUGAUCAAACAUUCAUUGAAAUUUGUCUUGUUUAAUGUCCAAGCUGUGAAAUUUGACUGUGUAAUUUCUUUUAAUUAGGCACUUUCAUUGAUUUAUAGUAUUAUUUUUUUUUAUAGAUUUUUCUAUCAUUAAUUAAAAGUAACAAAAUAAUUAGGACUUUUUAGGAAUUUUUAUAGGCAACUUCUUUUUAGCCUAAAUAAAAAAAACUUUAUAUACUUUAUAAUUGAGAAUUGUAUUCUAAUCUUGUACUACUAUUUUAAUGUUCUGUGUUGACUGACAAUCAUUUACAAUGCAUUAUUAAUGCAAAUAAAGUUUCAUACAUAGUCAAAGCAA
Molecule: RNA transcript, 1386 nt
Organism: Tachysurus fulvidraco (yellow catfish)
Lineage: Eukaryota; Metazoa; Chordata; Actinopteri; Siluriformes; Bagridae
Gene name: UPF0676 protein C1494.01-like
Exons: 7
Source: RefSeq, a predicted model, not a curated record